UUACUUAAGUUCCUGUCACCACCACUUCUGACAGAAGAUUGUCCAGUCCCUCCUGACAGUGAAAAUGGAGCAUCACUUAAGAUCCUGUCACCACCACUUCUGACAGAAGAUUGUCCAGUCCCUCCUGACAGUGAAAAUGGAGCAUCACUUAAGAUCCUGUCACCACCACUUCUGACAGAAGAUUGUCCAGUCCC
Molecule: non-coding RNA, 194 nt
Organism: Pimephales promelas (fathead minnow)
Lineage: Eukaryota; Metazoa; Chordata; Actinopteri; Cypriniformes; Leuciscidae
Source: RefSeq, a predicted model, not a curated record